UACGAAUGGGGCAAGCGUUGUUCGGAAUCACUGGGCGUAAAGCGUGUGUAGGCGGUUUAUCAAGUCAGGAGUGAAAUCCCAGGGCUCAACCCUGGAAUUGCUCUUGAAACUGAUAAGCUAGAGUCCCGGAGAGGUUAGCAGAAUUCCGAGUGUAGAGGUGAAAUUCGCAGAUAUUCGGAGGAAUACCAGUGGCGUACGCGGCUAACUGGACGGGCACUGACGCUGAGACACGAAAGCGUGGGGAUCAAACAGG
RNAcentral lists this ribosomal RNA (253 nucleotides) under uncultured bacterium. Its description in RNAcentral is "partial 16S ribosomal RNA". It matches the Rfam family "Bacterial small subunit ribosomal RNA", at positions 524 to 776 of the family's 1533-position model. The record is from RNAcentral.